This is a long non-coding RNA of Herpailurus yagouaroundi (jaguarundi), 1588 nucleotides long. RefSeq lists it as uncharacterized. Lineage: Eukaryota; Metazoa; Chordata; Mammalia; Carnivora; Felidae. The record is from RefSeq and is a predicted model, not a curated record. The transcript is spliced from 2 exons.
CAUGGUCUCUCUCUCUCUCUCUCAAAAAUAAACAUUAAAAAAAAUAAAAUAAAUAUAGGCAUACCUCCUUUUAUUGUGCUUCCUUUUUAUUGAGCUUGUCAAAUAUUUCAUUGUGUUUUUCAAGUUGAAGGUCUGUGGUAGUGCUGUGUCGAGCACGUCUCUCUGGGCCAUUUUUCCAACAGCGUUUGUUCGAUUCAUAUCCAUGUCACAUUUUGGUAAUUCUCACAGUUUUUCAGUUUUUUUCAUUCUUACUAUGUUCGUUAUGUUAUCUAUCAUCAGUGAUCUUUGAUGUUACUCUUGCAUUUGUUUUUGGAGCGCCACACUCCAUGGCCGUAGCAGAUGGUAAAGCUAAUUGAUAAAUGUGGUGAGUGUUCUGACUGGUGCACCGACCAGCCAUUUUCCCAUCUCUCUCCCUGUCCUUGGGCCUCCCGAUUCCCUGAGACAUUCCAGUUUCAGAAUUUGGCAAAUUAAGAAUACUACAAGGACCUCAAAGUGUUCACAUGAAAGGAAGAGUUGCAUGUCUCCACUUCAAAUCAAAGCUAGAAAUGAUUAUGACUUCACUCAUCUGUGGAAUUUGAGGGCUCUUAAGAAUUCUGCUUCAUCUACCCACCUUGUGCUCUGCAAAUGAAACAACACAACCUGAAUAACAGCACAUCUGUUUACAGAAUGAGUUACUGAAUAUUAUAAGCCCACUGCUGAGACCUACUGCUCAGAAAAAAAGAUUUCUUUGAAAAUAUGACUGCUCAUAGACAAUGCACCUGGUCACCUAAGAGCUCUGAUGGAGGAGUACAAUGACCUGAAUGUUGCUUUCUUGCCUGCUAAUACAACAUUCCUUCUGCGGCCUAUGGAUCAAGGAGUCAUUUCAACUUUCAAGUCUUGGUAUUGAAAAACUAUAUUUUGUAAGGCAAUAGCUGUGAUAGAUAGUGAUUCUUUUGAUGGCUCUGGGCGACGUAAAUUGAAAACCUCCUGGAAAGGAUUCACCAGCCUCGACGCCAUUAAGAACAUAUGUGGUUCAUGGGAGCCAGUCAAAAUAUCAACAUUUACAGGAGUUUGAAGACAUUGAUUUCCACCCUCAUGGACGACUGUCAGGGUUUCUAGACUUCAGUGGACCAAGUCACCGCAGAUAUGGUGGAAACAGCAAGAGAAUUAGCAUUAGAAGUGGAGCCUCAAGAUGGGACUAAAUUGCUGCAAAUCUCAUGAUAAAACUUGAAUGGAUGAAGGAGCAGAGAAAGUGGUUUCUUGAGAUUGAAUGUACUCCUGGGGAAGAUGCCGUGAAGAUUAUUCAGUUACAACAAAGGAACUAGAACAUGACUUGCGCUUAGUUGAUCAAACAGUGGUAGGCUUUGAGAGGAUUGUGUCCAAUUGUGAGAGAAAUUCAGCCGUUCUGCAAAUGGUUUCAAACGGCAUCACGUGCUACAGAGAAGCCAUUAGUGAAUCUAUUGAUGUGACAAACUUCAUUGUGGUCUUACUUUAAGAGAGUGCCAGAGCUUCCCCCAGUCUGAUCAGUCAACAGCCAUCAACAUCAAAGCAAGAGCCUCCUCUAGCAAAAAGAUGGUAACUGGCGCUUUGCAGCAAUAUUUUUAGUUAA